Molecule: long non-coding RNA, 230 nt
Filed under: Linum usitatissimum (flax)
Lineage: Eukaryota; Viridiplantae; Streptophyta; Magnoliopsida; Malpighiales; Linaceae
Description: long non-coding RNA (LUSI_LNC008148)
Source: RNAcentral
GCGAGAAUGAAUCUGAAAUUAGGUUUAGCAAGAACGCAUGAAAAUCCUGAAUAACAUCGAUGCAAUAUCAAAGGUUCAGAAACCCAUCAUCUAUACAAAAGCUAAACUAAAGUUUCAUCUAAUUCAAACAACACAAAGAAUUUAGCCGCUCAUGGUUUCGGAAAAUAAAUCAGAAGAGCAGAGAAGAAAAAUCGGAGAAGACAACAUGUCCUUCGUGGAAAUCUCAGUCU